Molecule: ribosomal RNA, 589 nt
Filed under: Stenotrophomonas sp. EECC-54
Lineage: Bacteria; Pseudomonadati; Pseudomonadota; Gammaproteobacteria; Lysobacterales; Lysobacteraceae
Description: bacterial SSU rRNA
Rfam family: Bacterial small subunit ribosomal RNA
Source: RNAcentral
GCUCUCUGGGUGGCGAGUGGCGGACGGGUGAGGAAUACAUCGGAAUCUACCUUUUCGUGGGGGAUAACGUAGGGAAACUUACGCUAAUACCGCAUACGACCUUCGGGUGAAAGCAGGGGACCUUCGGGCCUUGCGCGGAUAGAUGAGCCGAUGUCGGAUUAGCUAGUUGGCGGGGUAAAGGCCCACCAAGGCGACGAUCCGUAGCUGGUCUGAGAGGAUGAUCAGCCACACUGGAACUGAGACACGGUCCAGACUCCUACGGGAGGCAGCAGUGGGGAAUAUUGGACAAUGGGCGCAAGCCUGAUCCAGCCAUACCGCGUGGGUGAAGAAGGCCUUCGGGUUGUAAAGCCCUUUUGUUGGGAAAGAAAAGCAGCCAGUUAAUACCUGGUUGUUCUGACGGUACCCAAAGAAUAAGCACCGGCUAACUUCGUGCCAGCAGCCGCGGUAAUACGAAGGGUGCAAGCGUUACUCGGAAUUACUGGGCGUAAAGCGUGCGUAGGUGGUUGUUUAAGUCUGUUGUGAAAGCCCUGGGCUCAACCUGGGAAUUGCAGUGGAUACUGGGCGACUAGAGUGUGGUAGAGGGUAGUGG